This 472-nucleotide ribosomal RNA is filed under the name uncultured bacterium. RNAcentral describes it as "bacterial SSU rRNA". It matches the Rfam family "Bacterial small subunit ribosomal RNA", at positions 355 to 825 of the family's 1533-position model. The record is from RNAcentral.
UGGGGAAUUUUGGACAAUGGGCGCAAGCCUGAUCCAGCCAUGCCGCGUGCGGGAAGAAGGCCUUCGGGUUGUAAACCGCUUUUGUCAGGGAAGAAACGCUCUGGGCUAAUACCCUGGGGUAAUGACGGUACCUGAAGAAUAAGCACCGGCUAACUACGUGCCAGCAGCCGCGGUAAUACGUAGGGUGCAAGCGUUAAUCGGAAUUACUGGGCGUAAAGCGUGCGCAGGCGGUUUUGUAAGACAGGCGUGAAAUCCCCGGGCUCAACCUGGGAAUUGCGCUUGUGACUGCAAGGCUGGAGUGCGGCAGAGGGGGAUGGAAUUCCGCGUGUAGCAGUGAAAUGCGUAGAUAUGCGGAGGAACACCGAUGGCGAAGGCAAUCCCCUGGGCCUGCACUGACGCUCAUGCACGAAAGCGUGGGGAGCAAACAGGAUUAGAUACCCGUGUAGUCCCUGAGCGGGCUGGCAAGGCGCAU